Molecule: long non-coding RNA, 481 nt
Filed under: Bos taurus (domestic cattle)
Lineage: Eukaryota; Metazoa; Chordata; Mammalia; Artiodactyla; Bovidae
Description: long non-coding RNA NONBTAT019301
Source: RNAcentral
UCGUCCCAUUUCUUCAAAAUCAUCCUUUCAGAUAUGCCUUCUUCAAAAAUCAAUCCUAAUUUAUUUUCCUACUUUGUAUCUUUUAACCUUGGAAAACUGUACAGUGUAAACUAAGUGGACUUUUCUUCUGAUGCGUAGCUCUAAUAUCCUUGUAAAGUGGACACAGAGCAUCUGCCGAAGAGUCAGGAAAGUUAGAGAACAUUUGCUUUUACUGACUUAGUUCUGAAUAUUUAUUCAUUCUUUAAAUUAAAAAUUCCUUAUUAUUCCUGCUUUCUUUGGCAUUCAAGUCAGAAAGAAACUGAAAUUUAAAAUAAGUUAAAAAAAGAAAGUAGUAGAGAAAUCAAGAUCACUUGUGACUAUUUUCACAGAGGGUUAAGUAACUGCCAGAGAACCCUAGAGCCAAGUAGGCUGUAAAUUAAUACAAUUACAAAAGCACAUUCCGAUGAUGCAGACUUAUAGCCAUUAAAAUAAAAAUCUGGAA